UGAGGAAUAUUGGUCAAUGGACGCAAGUCUGAACCAGCCAAGUAGCGUGCAGGAUGACGGCCCUAUGGGUUGUAAACUGCUUUUAUAUGGGGAUAAAGUGGGGAACGUGUUCCCUUUUGCAGGUACCAUAUGAAUAAGGACCGGCUAAUUCCGUGCCAGCAGCCGCGGUAAUACGGAAGGUUCGGGCGUUAUCCGGAUUUAUUGGGUUUAAAGGGAGCGUAGGCCGUUUGGUAAGCGUGUUGUGAAAUGUAGGAGCUCAACUUCUAGAUUGCAGCGCGAACUGUCAGACUUGAGUGCGCACAACGUAGGCGGAAUUCAUGGUGUAGCGGUGAAAUGCUUAGAUAUCAUGAGGAACUCCUAUUGCGAAGGCAGCUCACGGGAGUGUCACUGACGCUUAAGCUCGAAGGUGCGGGUAUCAAACAGG
RNAcentral lists this ribosomal RNA (424 nucleotides) under Verrucomicrobiota bacterium. RNAcentral describes it as "Verrucomicrobia bacterium partial 16S ribosomal RNA". It matches the Rfam family "Bacterial small subunit ribosomal RNA", at positions 355 to 776 of the family's 1533-position model. Lineage: Bacteria; Pseudomonadati; Verrucomicrobiota. The record is from RNAcentral.